RNAcentral lists this ribosomal RNA (465 nucleotides) under uncultured bacterium. RNAcentral's name for it is "partial 16S ribosomal RNA". It matches the Rfam family "Bacterial small subunit ribosomal RNA", at positions 28 to 507 of the family's 1533-position model. The record is from RNAcentral.
GACGAACGCUGGCGGCGUGCUUAACACAUGCAAGUCGAACGGAAAGGCCCUGCUUGCAGGGUACUCGAGUGGCGAACGGGUGAGUAACACGUGGGUGAUCUGCCCUGCACUUCGGGAUAAGCUUGGGAAACUGGGUCUAAUACCGGAUAGGAGCCAUCUUUAGUGUGGUGGUUGGAAAGUUUUUUCGGUGUAGGAUGAGCUCGCGGCCUAUCAGCUUGUUGGUGGGGUAAUGGCCUACCAAGGCGGCGACGGGUAGCCGGCCUGAGAGGGUGUACGGCCACAGUGGGACUGAGAUACGGCCCAGACUCCUACGGGAGGCAGCAGGGGGGAAUAUUGCACAAUGGGCGCAAGCCUGAUGCAGCGACGCCGCGUGGGGGAUGAAGGCCUUCGGGUUGUAAACUCCUUUCGCUAGGGACGAAGCUUUUUGUGACGGUACCUAGAGAAGAAGCACCGGCUAACUACGUG